ACUUGGAUUACGCGGAUCAGAAAGGUGUAUAAUUCCAGAAAACGGAGUUUCUUUAUAUCAAAGUUCGCAAAUCCCCGAAAAUAUUUUGUGCAGAGGCUGUGGAAGUCAAACGUCUUCGGCUAAUUUCAUAAUAUCCAAAUUAAGCCCGUCCUCACACUAUGCAUUCCAUGACACGUUGUUCAAUAGAGAAAUGGUUCUUGUACAAGUAGUAUCACACGAUAUCAUUUUUCAAUUCCCUGUGAUAACUACCACUCAAUCUACAUGUCAAGGUUAUGGGGAGUUAGAGAUUCAUUGGUCAAGUUACCAGCUGACUUCUAAGGACCAUGGCUACCUCGGAGCAUUUAUCUGAUCAAGACAAACAAUUUUUAGCCAGUUGCGAGGAAGAACUAAAAGAUAGAUAUACAGAAAAUGAUGAAGCAUUUAUGAAAGUUUUUAAAGCGGAGCCGAGUCCACCGCCUAUUAUAGAAUCAUGGUGGGUGCCGAAUAACGGCGGGCGGCGGAACGACCGGCGCUUCAACCGCCGCAGCCAGCCGUACUCGCGCGACGGCCGCGACGGGCGGGACGGGCGCGACCACGGCCGCGGCCGGUACGACCACUCCCGCUCCUACGACGACAGGAGCUACGGCCACCACAGCAAUCGCCCACGCCAUUACUAGCUCACUUUUGUUUAAUCAUUCAUAAAUGUUCAUCCAUAUAUUAUGUAUUACUGAAUAAAAAUAAUAAAUAAAUA
This is a long non-coding RNA of Cydia splendana, 730 nucleotides long. RefSeq lists it as uncharacterized. NCBI's taxonomy places the organism in Eukaryota, Metazoa, Arthropoda, Insecta, Lepidoptera, Tortricidae. The record is from RefSeq and is a predicted model, not a curated record. The transcript has 3 exons.